RNAcentral lists this long non-coding RNA (230 nucleotides) under Musa acuminata (dwarf banana). RNAcentral's name for it is "long non-coding RNA (MACU_LNC005646)". The record is from RNAcentral. Lineage: Eukaryota; Viridiplantae; Streptophyta; Magnoliopsida; Zingiberales; Musaceae.
UCUAACCAUUUACCACAAGUUCAUAUCAUCAUAAACUAGACUUAACAUUCCGAAAUUCCAAAUAAGAGAGAUCUUGUAACACUUUUACAAGGUAUAUCCAUUUCGGUUCAUCGACAACAUUUCAUUACAUACAAAAUAUACUUAUACAACAAUAACAUAAUAAUCAACAAGACUUGCCCAUAAUUCUGAAUAGCUCUCCACUGCCUUAGCCCAAUUCAAACAUCUCAAAG